GGUUGGAGCCAAGAAAGUCAAUGCUAUUUACAUUGAAGUUGGUUUGCUUGAUAUCAGGUGUUUGUGUAAUUGAGGUUGGUUUGCUUGAUGUCAGGUGUUUGUGAAAUUGCGUUAGUUGCCACAGAAUUACUGGUCAAAAGUAAAUUCAUUUCUAGUCCAGAAAUUUCUGUAUAUCUCAUUCCUUGUCAUGAACUGCCAUGAUUUGCUUUGUUGAUAAAUUUUCUUUUUCAUUGACAAAAUUUAUCAGGCAUAUGUGUUGUAUAAACUUUCAGGUCAGAAUGGCUGGAGAUCAAGUUAAACGAGCGACAGAUUUGAACCCAGUACUUUUAGCAGGAUCCAACAUGCCUAGCGUGGGGAUGCAGUUCGUUGCUGGCCAAACGGAUGCAUCUGCAAGAGUUUCUGUGCAGAGGCAACCGAACAACAACCAUUUAUUUCACCGAUCAGUUCCUAAUAUCCCUCAAGUGCUCCACCUCUCCAUGGACUAAGCAAUAGCUGCCCUAACAACAAUUUAACCUCUCCAUCUAACAAAUCCUCGGUGUGAUGAUGGAACAAGUAGUAUUGGUGGAAUGCCCUUUACGCGGCCGUUAACAGCUAGCGGGCAAGCUGUGGCUGACGCUUCUCCACUUGGGGGUGGCCACGGUCCAGGAACCGCCAGUUAUGGUUCCUGAAUCGCCGGUUUAGGUUCAAUGAAAUCAUGAACCUGAACCAAACCGCUAGGGGACGGUUUGAAAGAUGGCUCCUGAAUCGCCGGUUCUGGUUUUGAUUCCUGAACCGCCGGUUCUGGUUUGAGUCCCGGUUUAAAACGGUUUGAAGGGCGGUUCGAAAAAAAUGGUUAAAGAAAUUUGAGGACGGUUUGAAAGUGGUUUAAGGAUGGUUUAAGGGUAAUUUAGACAAAAAAAAUUAAAAAAAAAUUUAUUGAUUCAAAAUUUAAGUUA
RNAcentral lists this unclassified non-coding RNA (935 nucleotides) under Hevea brasiliensis (rubber tree). Lineage: Eukaryota; Viridiplantae; Streptophyta; Magnoliopsida; Malpighiales; Euphorbiaceae. The record is from RNAcentral.